UUAAUAUUUUUUCAAGCAGUUUUAUUGCAGAACAGUUCUCAAAACAUAGCCACAAACUCUCUACACUCUUUUCGAUAAUACUUAAUUUCAGCCCUGUCUCUGCUUAUGCCGUGGAUUUGUCUUGCAGAACACAUACAAACUUCCUCUCCGUCGGACAAUGAAACAGUCUUUACAGCGCCUCCUCAGGGCAGACUUUGUUUUCAUCCCUCUGGAAGGCUGGACGCAAGAAAGAUGCUGGCACUCUUGCAACAAGGAUUGUCCACAUUGACCAAAUGAGCCAGGCAAGGGGGGCUGGAUGGAGCCAGUUUUCCUUGAUGACAGGAAUAGUACCCGGGGAGCUGUGGUGAGGGUGUAGAGACUUCUGUAGAUACUUGCAGCUGGUGAUGGGAAAAUCCUACUUAUCUUGCUGAUGUUGGCCACUUGGGAGGAUACUGAGGUGGCAAGGUGCCUCAACAGGAGGGGCGUCAUGGUGCCUCAGCUACAAAGUAAAAAAAAAACAGACAAGUGAAGUUCAGCUACAGAAUGAGCACCUUACAUGACUGACCCUAGACUAUAAGUUUAGUCUGGACUUUUUAUUGUUAUCAAGUAUUUGCAUCAAAAUACGAUAAACAUCAAGCUAUACAACAACGUAGCUUUUGCAUUAAUUUUCAACUAUCGCGUGAAUUAUAUUACGGCAUAAAAUUAAGUUAGGGUCAAACACACCGUAACACCGAGUUAGACACCCCGUCGAGAGAUGAAUGUUGCCGACUGCUUGCUUCUCUAGUUAUACAAACUUUAGUAGCGACCACAGAUAGCAAUACAGCUACGCGCUCAACCAAAACGCCACUCUAUAGCCACAAAUAAUGCUCAGAACAGCACCUAACUUCAUCAACAAUACAUAUAGGGUCCUAGACACAGCACUAGCCACCAAACAUCUUUUUAGCUUUGCCUAAUUUCUUUAGUAAAGAGACUUAACACAACUCACCGUCUCUCUUCCAGAAGCCGCUUGUGUAUACUGUGACCUCCGGGUGAGUCCAUCGACUGCAGCAGGGGGAUGCAGCUCAAGGAAGAACAUUCAUGAUCCUUACUUUAUCAUUUCCUUUAAGUAGUAAUCAUUAUAUUAAUCAUUUUGCACUGCAGACGCGGUAGUUGGUCUGCCUUAGCGUCUCGGUCUGUUUGCAUUUCCAUUGAGUAGUGAUCAUAUAUGUUCUUCCUUGAGCUGCGUCCCCCUGCUGCGGCAAUGGACUCGCCUGGGGUCUCCAUACAGGCAAGCAGCUGCUGGAAGAGAGACGGUGAGUUGUGUUUAGUCUCUUUGCUACAGAAAUUAGGCAAAGUUAAAAAAGAUGUUUGGUGGCUAGUGCUGUCAUUACUAGAGAAGCAAGCAGUCGGCAACAUUUAUCUAUAGACGAGGUGUCUAACUCGGUGUUGCAGUGUGUUUGACCCUAACUUACUUUUACGCCGGAAUAUCCCUUUAAUAUGCAUUUUUGCCUUGCAGAUGACAUUUGAAAGCGGUAACACGCGUUUGUAACACUAAAUGUUUACAGAAGAUAGCUGAAAAGAAACUAGCAUGGCAUGGUUGACCCGCAAACACCAGCGCGAGGUCUACGGAAUCCGACACACAUUACUCCCUGACCAGGCACAUUCACAUUCACAUGGUUUGAGAUCAAAAGUGAAAAAAAACCCGUCAGAUUUACCUCAAUAACUUUACACUUAGAAAUGUCCUUGAAUAUCACGUUUUAAUAGCCACAACAGAGGCGAGGU
This is a non-coding RNA of Xyrichtys novacula (pearly razorfish), 1740 nucleotides long. NCBI's taxonomy places the organism in Eukaryota, Metazoa, Chordata, Actinopteri, Labriformes, Labridae. The record is from the annotation of a GenBank genome assembly.